GUGGGGAAUCUUGCGCAAUGGGCGAAAGCCUGACGCAGCAACGCCGCGUGCGGGAAGAAGGCUUUCGGGCUGUAAACCGCUUUCAGCAGGAACGAAAAUGACGGUACCUGCAGAAGAAGGAGCGGCCAACUAUGUGCCAGCAGCCGCGGUGAUACAUAGGCUUCAAGCGUUGUCCGGAUUUAUUGGGCGUAAAGAGUUCGUAGGCGGUCGAGUAAGUCGGGUGUGAAAAUUCUGGGCUCAACCCAGAGACGCCACCCGAUACUGCUUAACUUGAGUUCGAUAGGGGAGUGGGGAAUUCCUAGUGUAGCGGUGAAAUGCGCAGAUAUUAGGAGGAACACCGGUGGCGAAGGCGCCACUCUGGAUCGACACUGACGCUGAGGAACGAAAGCAUGGGUAGCAAACAGGAUUAGAUACCCGGGUAGUCC
Molecule: ribosomal RNA, 425 nt
Filed under: uncultured bacterium
Lineage: Bacteria
Description: bacterial SSU rRNA
Rfam family: Bacterial small subunit ribosomal RNA
Source: RNAcentral